CCAAAUUUGUGGCAACUAUUAAGCUUUGUGAAUUUAGUAUAUGGAUAUUUGACCAUGUGGCUGUGGUAAUAGAAUACUACAUCAACAAUGAAUGGCACACAUUAAUUUUUUUUGCUUGAAGCACCAGAAUAUAGAAUACAGACAUUUGAGGAAGCUAUUAUUGAACUGAACACUUAAGGAGAGGAUUUAUACAAGGAUAGCACCCUUAUCAUGCAGUUGUUAACGGACAAUCUCGCUUUCUUAACUUACGAAAUGCAGGUACCAGCAGGUAUGACGUAAUUUUCAAGAAAGGUACCGAGCAAUAAUUUCUUCAAUGAAUAUUCUCAAUGUUAUUAUGAAAAUUCCCAGACGUUAAUGGUAGUUCCACAAAAAAAGGAAUCCUGUGUUCCAAUAGAAGCAAAAAUGUAGGGGAGUAUUCAAAUCUUUUCUUAACAUACAUUUUUUAUUUUCCAACUCUCAAGUUUAAGCGCUAUAAUACAAUAUUGAUAUCAAUUAUUAAAAAGAAAAUACGGAAAAAUAUCUUCUGAAUAUUGUGGAGAAUGUUGAUAAUUUAUAUUUUCUUAAUUUAAAAAGUGAAUUUGAAGACACUUCUCAUGGUAUACAAGACCGCCAAAGAGUACCUGGCAGCUUUCCUUUGCAAGGGUAUAGACGAACCGACUAUAGUUCAUCCCCACCUACUCAUAGGGCAUUCCGGUAGUUAUUCACGAGGCAAUUAUGAAAGAUGGAAAAGUCGUUCGUCUGGAUGGAGUAAUCGAGUUAAUGACGCACAAUCUGAUCGGGAUUCAGGUUCGCUCAGAUUAUUCUAUAUAUUGCUUUUAUGUAUGUGUGAUAAGACUUUUUCGGUAUAUUUGAUUGCUCCAGAAUUGUAGGUGUAGUUGUAUAGUAUAAAUUAUCUAAAAAGAAAAAAAAAGAGGAAAAAAUAUAGGAAGAUCAUUAUAGGAUCAAGUUAAUUUGGUAUUGGACUAUCAUCUACAUUCAUGAGAAAAACUUGUACGAGAAACAACCUCCAUUGCCUCCUAAAAGAAGAACACACCCAAUGAAAUUUCACAAGUGAGGUAUGAGGAGGGUA
Molecule: long non-coding RNA, 1069 nt
Organism: Capsicum annuum
Lineage: Eukaryota; Viridiplantae; Streptophyta; Magnoliopsida; Solanales; Solanaceae
Exons: 3
Source: RefSeq, a predicted model, not a curated record